UACGUAGGUGGCAAGCGUUGUCCGGAUUUACUGGGUGUAAAGGGCGAGUAGGCGGGGCUGCAAGUCAGUAGUGAAAUACCACGGCUUAACCGUGGCACUGCUAUUGAAACUGUAGUUCUUGAGUAAUGGAGAGGCAGGCGGAAUUCCCGGUGUAGCGGUGGAAUGCGUAGAGAUCGGGAGGAACACCAGUGGCGAAGGCGGCCUGCUGGACAUCAACUGACGCUGAGGAGCGAAAGCGUGGGGAGCAAACAGG
Molecule: ribosomal RNA, 253 nt
Filed under: uncultured prokaryote
Description: partial 16S ribosomal RNA
Rfam family: Bacterial small subunit ribosomal RNA
Source: RNAcentral